AAUUAGAUGAGGUACUUUCCUUUUUAGUCUGUUCCAAAAUAAAUGACACAUUUCUAAAUUUGAAAAAAAUUCAACUUUCAACUCUUCAUUUUACCAUUUUUACCCUAAAUGAGAAGCUCUUAUAGCCAUAUAAAUAUCAUGACCCCAUAAAGCUUUUACCCCUUAAGCUUUUAAGAUCACAAAUUUCAAAAGUCUUCAUCUUUUUUUCUUAAACUCUGAGUCGAGUCAAAUUACCUCAUCUAAAUUGAAACGGAUGGAGUACUACAAACAUUCUCUGCCUAAGUGAUAAAUAGGCUAAAGUCUUCCCACCCUUUCAUAAUGUUCCUCCACAAUCCACAAUCAUAUGGCAAUGUAACGUUUCUAUCUAGGUAUACACCCCCUUUUCAAUUCUGCUACAACUCUCUACAUAAAGCAUGCUCGUCCACCCAGAUUUCCGGAGCUUCUUUUUUUUCUUUUUUGAUGAAGUAAGUGGUUAAAAAAUACUCUCCAGAGCUUCUUUCUAGUAAGCUUUAUUGAAGAUCCUAAGAUCUUCUACUCCAUGAUCUUAUUCCUUUGAAGAUAUCACCGAUUCGUAAUUCAUUAAGCAAAAUUUCCUAAUUCGACUUGCGUUCUCCUUCAAAAUUCCGCCAUGGCAACUCCAAUUGUUGUUUCAGUAAGAUCAAUGCUGCAUUAAUGGCAUGUAAUAUGUGGAAGGCAUGGAUGAUUAAUACUUCAUUUCCUUCUUUGAACAAAUACAUAUUUCGCCACCUAGCUAGCUGCUUUUCCACCCUCUCAAUCACCAUAUCCCACACUACUAAGUCCUUACUGAAAGCACCCAGAGAAAGAUGGACCAAGGUAAGUAGUAGGUAGUGCUCCUACCUUAUUCAACAGGUAUGCUAGGUCUUCAGCAUUUUCUACCCCGUCCACCGGUUUGAUCUCGCAUUCCCUAAGCUUGAACUUUAACCUAAAUAGACACCACCUGGAACCACAUAAGGUUUUGUCUUAAAUAUUUAGCUGGGCCACACUUGCAUUGCUGAAUUCAAAGGUGUCAUCCACAAACAUGAACUGGAUAACCCUAAUGAAACUUUGUUCCUCACCGAGAUAAAAAUGACUCUUAAAAAUCCUCCACCAAUUUAUCUAAGCGGUUUCAUCCCCAAAAAGAAUAGCUCACAGAUAGCGGAUCCCCCGAUCACCAGAAGAUCCUCCAUUCACUAAGACUUAGAAUCUAACAAUAAAAAUGCAAAAUUUAUCCACCUCCUCAUCCCAAAUAUGCCAUAGUUAUGAUGUAGUCCAAGAGUUCCUAAUGCAUAUCAACAUAGACCUUUUCAAGGUCCAACUUGCAUCCAAAAAUUCCUAAUCCCUAGCUUUCCCUUCUUCCUUCUAGGAUCAAUCACUUCAUUCGCCACCAAAGUUGCAUGCAAACUCUGUCUACUUGAUCAAAUGCAUUACAGAAAUGGGUAUUGCCUUAUUUAGUUCUUUUUUAGUAUGUUCGAAAGCGCCUUAGGAAUUAUCUCAUAUAUGAUACCCACCAAACUACUAUGCAUGCAAUCCUUGUGCUUAUAACCCUCAUGUUUCAACAUAAUAAGUAUGAUGUGUUGAGGCUUCUUUGAACUCACCCAUUAAAAAAUGUCAUACUGGUCCAUAUCAAGUUCCCUUAAAUCUGCUUUAGCACAGCUGGACAAAGGCCAAUGUGAACCCAUUUGGUCCCAGGAUCUUAUCUCGGGCACAACUCACCUCUUGUUCUCCUAUAACCCUUUCUAACCACUCCCUCCACUCGUCUCUUAUUUGGUUGAAC
This 1774-nucleotide long non-coding RNA is filed under the name Nicotiana benthamiana. RNAcentral describes it as "long non-coding RNA (NBEN_LNC002778)". Lineage: Eukaryota; Viridiplantae; Streptophyta; Magnoliopsida; Solanales; Solanaceae. The record is from RNAcentral.